GAUGAACGCUGGCGGCGUGCCUAAUACAUGCAAGUCGAGCGAACAGACGAGGAGCUCGCUCCUCUGACGUUAGCGGCGGACGGGUGAGUAACACGUGGAUAACCUACCUAUAAGACUGGGAUAACUUCGGGAAACCGGAGCUAAUACCGGAUAAUAUAUUGAACCGCAUGGUUCAAUAGUGAAAGACGGUUUUGCUGUCACUUAUAGAUGGAUCCGCGCCGCAUUAGCUAGUUGGUAAGGUAACGGCUUACCAAGGCAACGAUGCGUAGCCGACCUGAGAGGGUGAUCGGCCACACUGGAACUGAGACACGGUCCAGACUCCUACGGGAGGCAGCAGUAGGGAAUCUUCCGCAAUGGGCGAAAGCCUGACGGAGCAACGCCGCGUGAGUGAUGAAGGUCUUCGGAUCGUAAAACUCUGUUAUUAGGGAAGAACAAAUGUGUAAGUAACUAUGCACGUCUUGACGGUACCUAAUCAGAAAGCCACGGCUAACUACGUG
RNAcentral lists this ribosomal RNA (497 nucleotides) under uncultured bacterium. RNAcentral describes it as "partial 16S ribosomal RNA". It matches the Rfam family "Bacterial small subunit ribosomal RNA", at positions 28 to 507 of the family's 1533-position model. The record is from RNAcentral.